Odocoileus virginianus texanus is the source of this 2444-nucleotide long non-coding RNA. RefSeq lists it as uncharacterized. Lineage: Eukaryota; Metazoa; Chordata; Mammalia; Artiodactyla; Cervidae. The record is from RefSeq and is a predicted model, not a curated record.
CAGAAUGUACAUUUCAAGGAGAGGGCAGGAGGGAGUGCCCUCUGACGACCUGGGUCCAGCUCAUCAAUCGACUUCUGGUCACAUCCUCUCGAUGACCACCCCCAACACAUUCCUUCGCCACACCUUCCUCAUUUCCCACAAAAAUUUCCCCUAAUUACUCCUAACAGAAGCAAGUCCACAUUACCUCAAAACCUGCUAGCUUUGCAUCCAGCCUGCACACCAGGUUAUUCAACCUUGGCCUCUGGUCCUUUUGGAGGGUGUUUUUAAACCACCUCCCAAGAGACUCAAUUUGCCAAAAAAAUUAUAACUCACUUAUUUGAUAUUCUGUGAAAAACAUGUCAUUUCAGGUUGGCCUUGUCCUCCCAUCCAGUAUAUCAUCCCACUCUGCAUUCUACAACAAAUAACACAUUUUUUAAAGAAAAAAAAAAACAACACAGUCAUCUAUUUGUCAUUUGGAAUUCUUCACAUCAGUACUGGCUUCCGUUAUUUCCACUAAUUAAACUGAUUUAUGUUGUCAAUUUCUAAGUGAAUACUCAUGUAAAUGGCAGUGUUAAUAAUAUUUUAAGGCAUCGUUUCCUCCUUUUUCAUCUAGUUCAAUAAUUUGACAAUGAUUGGAGGCACAGGUGAUCACGUCACUGUGCUGAUGCCGACAGCUUCCCGCAUGGACCGCACCAUCUACUGUCAGGAGCUCGGAAAGAACUGAACAGAAUUCUGUACAGCAACACACCAGAGCAGGCUGAACCUGAGAAGUGCUAAAUUUGGAGAGUAAAUGAUGUGUGUUGAGAGCUAAAGAAGGAGACCACUUUGGCCAGGACACUGGAGGUGAUUCCAUGAAGACUGGAGCUGGGUCACCCUAGUCCUCGCUACUAAAAGUGGUCUUUGAACAACAACACGGACCUCGCGUGGGAGCUUGUGAAAAGUUCAGAAUCUUGGAUGCCAGGCCAGACCUACAGAGUCAGAAUUGGUCAUUUUGACAAGACCCCCAGAUGAUUCCUGUGGGCAUUAAAGUUUGAGAACCACUGAUUUAACUACUUUUGGAAUUGAUAGAGAUACAUGGGCAUAUUGCUCUUCAUCUUGUCCACAGGAGCAAUUCUCUCACUGUUCAUACUGUCCGCACGGUUCGCUGAGCCAGGGUAGGCAAGGCGUUAGCUAAAAGGCCGAAAGAAGACGCGAGGAGCUGGAGGAGCUGCGGACGCGUUCAUUCCCUUCCGGCGGACGCGUUCAUUCCCUUCCGGCGGACGCGUUCAUUCCCUUCCGGCGGACGCGUUCAUUCCCUUCCGGCGGACGCAUUCAUUCCCUUCCGGCGGACGCGUUCAUUCCCUUCCGGCUGACGCGUUCAUUCUCUUCCGGCUGACGCGUUCAUUCUCUUCUGGCUGACGCAGCAGCCGUAACAGUAUUUUCUCCUGACUGACGCACCCGCCGUAGCAUUCACGCUUUAUUCUCGCCUCUCAUGGCCGAUCCAAGGGACAGAGCCGUGACGCAGCAGUAAAUCCCUAUGCUUUUUGGGUGGCGCUCUUAUCUCCCUACAGCACAAAGUAAUUCAUGACGGUGCGCAGUGUUAUAAAUGAGCUCAGCUGUUGGUCAUUAUUUACAAAAUGUGGGGCAAGAGCGAGUGGCCAGGGAGCAGAAGAGCCUGACACGCCAUCUUGGCUAAUUUGCUCUUUACCUACAAGGGGUAACGUAAUAGAAGCCAGACUAUGAAAGGGUGCUUGAGGAGAGGCAGGUAGGCAGGGAGGAUUUACAGAGUACAUAGGAGGGUUUAUGUCUGCUAUCUAACAGUAGAAAUAAAAACUCCACGACCACUUACUAUCAGCCAGUGAUUGUGCUGAGUGACUAAUACAAUGCUCUUUCAUUUCACACUCAACAACCCGGUGAGGAGACGCUGCAUCACUUUUCAGAUGAGGAAGCUGAGACAUACAGAGGUUGAGUAACUUCUCAAGUCCACACAGAAAAGAGCAGAGCCAGGCUUCCCCCUGAGCUAGAGCUCUAGGCCAUUCCCUGCUGUAAGCCUUGGAUUCUCUGGACCAGCGAUGAAUCCCGGUCCACAGCUUCCUGAUAAACGUUCCCCUGAAGUGCAGUCAAAGGGCCUGCAUCUGACAGGUGAUGCAUCCAAGGAAGCCCAAGCUCUAUCCCUCCAUACUUCCAUAUCCCUUCAUCCUGAUAAAAUCAGGAGAGAAGACAAGAAGAUUGUUCUAGUGAUUAAGGUCCUCUGACCAGUCCUGGUCCAGAUCUACACUCCAGAAAGCCCAAGGAAUGGGGGGGACAUGAAAUAACUGCCAACCAGGAAGUAAGAAGGGUGACUCAAACACCAUUGAAGAGGAUAAAGCAAGUCAGCUUUCUCAAGAUUUCAAAGCAUCAUAAACAUUGCUUUUACCGCAUUUUCCUUUUCUUCAGUCUUGACAAACUUUCAUUCCCCUCCACACCCUGCAGGUGAAUUUCAGAGC